This is a long non-coding RNA of Cyprinus carpio (common carp), 706 nucleotides long. RefSeq lists it as uncharacterized. Lineage: Eukaryota; Metazoa; Chordata; Actinopteri; Cypriniformes; Cyprinidae. The transcript has 3 exons. The record is from RefSeq and is a predicted model, not a curated record.
AUCAGAACCGGAGAACUCACUUUCCCCAGUGCUUCUUUGCAGUGUUGGCAGAAUGAACCUGAUGUAACUGUACUGGGCUAAUUCAUUUUGGACAAGGUAUUCAUCUGCUACAAUGAAUGACAAUAACAGAGAGAAUGACAAUUCAGUGGUUAACCAGACUGAAGAUCAGCAUGCAUCUUUCAACAGAAAAUGUCAGGACGACACCCUCAUUAAUCCAGCAAUAUAUCACCUGAAAACUGUAAGAAAAUAUAUUGAUGGGACUAACAGAAAAAUCAGACAGUGGACAUAUGGAAAAAGAGACAGAAACAAACAGAACAAAGGUUAUGGACAUACUGAAGGACACAAAGAAGACAGAGAGACUGCUGAUUAUCUGAGCAGAUUAUUCUCAGAUGAGGAUGGGAUUCAUUAUAUUGAUGCAGUGUGUUUUGUGAUGAAGGCGUCUCAGAAUCGACUCGGAAAAUAAUUUUGCAUAUUUCACUCGGUUCUGUCUCUGUUUGGGAAAGAUAUAGAGGACAACAUAGUGUUUCUGUUCACACAUUCAGAUGGACGACGUCCAACAGAUGCUCUUAAUGCCAUUAACACAGCAGAAAUCCCCUGCAGAAGAGAUGAGAGAGGACGACCUGUUCACUUCUUAUUCAACAACUGACAGAAAGAGGAAAGAGACGAAGAGUAUCAGUAUCUCGACAGAUUAGCCUGGGAAAUAGGA